RNAcentral lists this ribosomal RNA (497 nucleotides) under uncultured bacterium. RNAcentral describes it as "partial 16S ribosomal RNA". It matches the Rfam family "Bacterial small subunit ribosomal RNA", at positions 28 to 507 of the family's 1533-position model. The record is from RNAcentral.
GAUGAACGCUGGCGGCGUGCCUAAUACAUGCAAGUCGGGCGAACGGACGAGAAGCUUGCUUCUCUGAUGUUAGCGGCGGACGGGUGAGUAACACGUGGAUAACCUACCUAUAAGACUGGGAUAACUUCGGGAAACCGGAGCUAAUACCGGAUAAUAUUUUGAACCGCAUGGUUCAAAAGUGAAAGACGGUCUUGCUGUCACUUAUAGAUGGAUCCGCGCUGUAUUAGCUAGUUGGUAAGGUAACGGCUUACCAAGGCAACGAUGCAUAGCCGACCUGAGAGGGUGAUCGGCCACACUGGAACUGAGACACGGUCCAGACUCCUACGGGAGGCAGCAGUAGGGAAUCUUCCGCAAUGGGCGAAAGCCUGGCGGAGCAACGCCGCGUGAGUGAUGAAGGUCUUCGGAUCGUAAAACUCUGUUAUUAGGGAAGAACAUAUGUGUAAGUAACUGUGCACAUCUUGACGGUACCUAAUCAGAAAGCCACGGCUAACUACGUG